This 250-nucleotide ribosomal RNA is filed under the name uncultured prokaryote. RNAcentral's name for it is "partial 16S ribosomal RNA". It matches the Rfam family "Bacterial small subunit ribosomal RNA", at positions 524 to 773 of the family's 1533-position model. The record is from RNAcentral.
UACGUAGGGGGCAAGCGUUAUCCGGAUUUACUGGGUGUAAAGGGAGCGCAGACGGACUGCCAAGUCUGAUGUGAAAUGUCGGGGCUCAACCCCGAAGCUGCAUUGGAAACUGGUAGUCUAGAGUGCAGGAGAGGUAAGUGGAAUUCCUAGUGUAGCGGUGAAAUGCGUAGAUAUUAGGAGGAACACCGGUGGCGAAGGCGGCUUACUGGACUGUAACUGACGUUGAGGCUCGAAAGCGUGGGGAGCAAAC